UACAGAGGGGGCAAGCGUUGUUCGGAAUUACUGGGCGUAAAGGGCGCGUAGGCGGCCUGCUAAGUCGAACGUGAAAUCCCUCGGCUUAACCGGGGAACUGCGUCUGAUACUGGAUGGCUUGAGAUUGGGAGAGGGAUGCGGAAUUCCAGGUGUAGCGGUGAAAUGCGUAGAUAUCAGGAGGAACACCGAUGGCGAAGGCAGGUCUCUGGGCUGACACUGACGCUCAUGCACGAAAGCGUGGGGAGCAAACAGG
RNAcentral lists this ribosomal RNA (253 nucleotides) under uncultured bacterium. RNAcentral describes it as "partial 16S ribosomal RNA". It matches the Rfam family "Bacterial small subunit ribosomal RNA", at positions 524 to 776 of the family's 1533-position model. The record is from RNAcentral.